RNAcentral lists this ribosomal RNA (223 nucleotides) under Vibrio alginolyticus. Its description in RNAcentral is "partial 16S ribosomal RNA". It matches the Rfam family "Bacterial small subunit ribosomal RNA", at positions 161 to 386 of the family's 1533-position model. The record is from RNAcentral. RNAcentral also lists the same sequence under 2 other names. Lineage: Bacteria; Pseudomonadati; Pseudomonadota; Gammaproteobacteria; Vibrionales; Vibrionaceae.
GGCUAAUACCGCAUGAUGCCUACGGGCCAAAGAGGGGGACCUUCGGGCCUCUCGCGUCAGGAUAUGCCUAGGUGGGAUUAGCUAGUUGGUGAGGUAAGGGCUCACCAAGGCAACGAUCCCUAGCUGGUCUGAGAGGAUGAUCAGCCACACUGGAACUGAGACACGGUCCAGACUCCUACGGGAGGCAGCAGUGGGGAAUAUUGCACAAUGGGCGCAAGCCUGA